RNAcentral lists this ribosomal RNA (301 nucleotides) under uncultured bacterium. Its description in RNAcentral is "partial 16S ribosomal RNA". It matches the Rfam family "Bacterial small subunit ribosomal RNA", at positions 509 to 807 of the family's 1533-position model. The record is from RNAcentral.
CAGCCGCCGCGGUAAUACGAAGGGGGCUAGCGUUGCUCGGAAUCACUGGGCGUAAAGGGUGCGUAGGCGGGUCUUUAAGUCAGGGGUGAAAUCCUGGAGCUCAACUCCAGAACUGCCUUUGAUACUGAGGAUCUUGAGUUCGGGAGAGGUGAGUGGAACUGCGAGUGUAGAGGUGAAAUUCGUAGAUAUUCGCAAGAACACCAGUGGCGAAGGCGGCUCACUGAACGCGUAUUGACGCUGAGGUGCGAAAGCGUGGGGAGCAAACAGGAUUAGAUACCCCUGUAGUCCCUGUCUCUUAUAC